GACGAACGCUGGCGGCGUGCUUAACACAUGCAAGUCGAUCGGAAAGGCCCUGCUUUUGUGGGGUGCUCGAGUGGCGAACGGGUGAGUAACACGUGAGUAACCUGCCCUUGACUUUGGGAUAACUUCAGGAAACUGGGGCUAAUACCGGAUAGGAGCUCCUGCUGCAUGGUGGGGGUUGAAAAGUUUCGGCGGUUGGGGAUGGACUCGCGGCUUAUCAGCUUGUUGGUGGGGUAGUGGCUUACCAAGGCUUUGACGGGUAGCCGGCCUGAGAGGGUGACCGGCCACAUUGGGACUGAGAUACGGCCCAGACUCCUACGGGAGGCAGCAGUGGGGAAUAUUGCACAAUGGGCGGAAGCCUGAUGCAGCAACGCCGCGUGCGGGAUGACGGCCUUCGGGUUGUAAACCGCUUUCGCCUGUGACGAAGCGUGAGUGACGGUAAUGGGUAAAGAAGCACCGGCUAACUACGUG
RNAcentral lists this ribosomal RNA (468 nucleotides) under uncultured bacterium. RNAcentral's name for it is "partial 16S ribosomal RNA". It matches the Rfam family "Bacterial small subunit ribosomal RNA", at positions 28 to 507 of the family's 1533-position model. The record is from RNAcentral.